AGAGGGGGCGUGGCUCAGAGCGGGGCGGCGCCAGGUCCGGAGAGUCAGGGGCCUCAUGAGGCCGGGUGUUCGCCUCAGGAUGCGAGCGGCCGGAGAGGAGCGCGAGGUAGAGGAGGUGCGGCUUCAGGCAAGUGAAGGAAAAGGGCAGGUCGCCAGCCGCGACGCGUUCUCAGCUUCCCGGCCCAGGUUUCCAAAUGUUUCUUUAAAGACUGACACCCCUAAGAGACCAAACAGACCUACAUUUUAACAAAGAUAAGAAGAUGGAGCAUAAUCAUUUUCUUCACUUGAUGUACAAAGUUAGAGCUAAAGAAGCCAGCAACCUGGAUACACAAAUGGGCACAAAAAAAGAGCCCCAACAAAAGCUUGCUCCCUCUAGUCAGCGAAGUAUGAAGACUUCAUGGUAGGAGAACUUGUUUCUAGACUGGCUCUGCCAUUAACAAAUUGCAACUUGGUAGAUACUCUCUCCAGCUCUUCAUUAUCAGCCAAUAGCUAAGUCCAGCAUUAUGAUUCCAAGUUGGAUGAAGAAAGGAGUUGUGUUUAAAGCAGUUUACUUUUAUUGCUUAAAAUAGAAAUAAUUGCA
Molecule: long non-coding RNA, 580 nt
Organism: Myotis davidii
Lineage: Eukaryota; Metazoa; Chordata; Mammalia; Chiroptera; Vespertilionidae
Exons: 3
Source: RefSeq, a predicted model, not a curated record